Molecule: ribosomal RNA, 253 nt
Filed under: uncultured bacterium
Lineage: Bacteria
Description: partial 16S ribosomal RNA
Rfam family: Bacterial small subunit ribosomal RNA
Source: RNAcentral
UACGAAGGAUCCAAGCGUUAUCCGGAUUCAUUGGGUUUAAAGGGUGCGUAGGCGGUCAAAUAAGUCAGUGGUGAAAUCUCCGAGCUUAACUCGGAAAUUGCCAUUGAUACUGUUUGACUAGAGUUCAGAUGAUGUUGGCGGAAUGUGUCAUGUAGCGGUGAAAUGCUUAGAUAUGACACAGAACACCGAUUGCGAAGGCAGCUGACAAAACUGAUACUGACGCUGAUGCACGAAAGUGCGGGGAUCAAACAGG